Non-coding RNA from Phalacrocorax carbo (great cormorant), 5081 nucleotides. The record is from RefSeq and is a predicted model, not a curated record. Lineage: Eukaryota; Metazoa; Chordata; Aves; Suliformes; Phalacrocoracidae.
CAUAUACCAAGUUAAUAAUAGAGCGCUGCAAAUUCUUCUCUAGAUGCCUGACAGCUCAGUAGCUUAAUAAUUAAUUUUAUGGGGACUGAGACUUUGUUUUUAUCCAAGAAAAAUAUGUUCGGCCCAACUACCAGUGAGCCCUGUUCUUGGCAGCACCUAUUUCCACAAGCAAAAAUCUACGGUGAUUCAGAGCAAACUGCGAUACAAGAAAUCUAUCCACAGACGUCUACAAAGUAGCUGGUAGAAUUAACCUGGAGCCUGGGAAUCCUGAUGUCCUUUCUCCUGGUUAACCCAUGGCACCUCUGGCCGUGAUUAUCCAUUUGCAGAGUAUAGGAUUAUCCCAGGAGUAUUGACUCUCUUUUGUGCUAAGAUUCCGUUACCUGUAGAAGUACACAAUAUUGUUAUAAUCUGAUAAAUCUCCUGGAAUGAAUCACAUCUCUUGAAUGGAAAUCUUUGGAAGCAACUUGUAUGAGAGACAUGAAAAACUUCCACUUCCUUGAAGAAAUGUGGAAAAUCAGAACUACCAGGUGAGGGCUGUUUUGUUUAAGCGGUUUACGCUGCCUCAAGAUGCUUACUUUCUCUGCCAACAUUAGACAGGCAGAGGAGUCUGUUGCCAGCCUCGUUGCCUAUCCAUAUCAGUGUUUGCCUCUAACAGCCACAGGCCCUACAAUAGAUUGGAAUGGGAUACACUGGCCCUCUUGAAAACCUCAUCUUAACCCCUGACAUAUAUGGGAUUCUGUAAAGCUAGAAACAUGAGGUUUUAAUCCCUGAAAUCUAGAUAAGUAACAAUGGCCAAUGAGAACAAGCUAAUUAUGCCAAAGUAUUAAGUCUUAUCAGAUAAUGUUCUAGGGUUUUUUGGGAGUCAGUAAAGCAUCUCUGCUUUCCUUGGCUGCAUGGAUGGAAGGUGCAUCAUAGAACAUUUUUUACUUCUUCCAAAGCAUUAAAUAGUGGCUACGGCCCAAGCAGGAUGUUUGCUAGGCAGACCAAGAGAUUGAUUUGACAUGGCAGCUACCUUCCAAUGUAUCACUGUUGAUCAACAGUGUCUAAGGGGUGAAUUUAUAGCAGCAGGACUGAGUCAGCUUUUGGCAUCACUGUCAGUGGCACUCUCCUCUCAGCAUCAGUAUAAUUAAGACUCAGAGAGGCUUCCAAUAUAGGAGAUUUUACAGCUCAUCUUUUGGAGACAACAGAAUUGUUAUUUCAAAUUGAUGCUGGGCCACAGGGGAUAGGAAAGAUUAGAGAAGGUUUGGUAUUCCUUUAGUGGCUAAAUAAUACAGCUUGUCAAAAACAGUGCUCUAUGUCAGCUCUCUUAAAUACUUGUUUGGGCUGACAGUCUUCCCAAUAACACUUCAUUUGUCUAAGCUGCAUACCACUGGCACAAAGACACAGCGUCAAGUUGAAUCAGACAAUAUCUGGAGACAGAUGUUGUAGUACAGUAGUAAAUUCUUGAUACAUGUCACUCAGAGGAGACUGUUUCUAACUGUCUUAUUCUGUAAGGUCUUUUAUGAACCUAUUUAUAUCAGCCAAAUAAAUCUAAGGAUGACAUUCUACAGUUGCUUCAUUCACAAAGCAACAUGAGAAAGUCCUGCAGAGCAGUUGCAUGAGGGAACGUGCAGUCUUCAGGAAACUUUAGUAAUUUCAGUUGGAAUACUCAGCAUGUAACUCUGAAAGCACGUGACAAAGCCAGUCAUCCAAAAGUCUGGUAAAGAAAUCGUAUUAUCAACAGUCCUUUAUGGGUAAAUAAGUGGAAAUCGUGGCAGAAUCAAGGAAAUAUUUUUCAGAAAUAGAUCUUUUUGGCCCAGGAAUUCUGAAGGUCUAGUUUGUACUUUGAGUCAGCAUUCCCACUGAUUUUGAAUGUAAGACAAAUCAGGGAAAAUAUUUUAGGCCUAAGAUACUUCACUAUGUUAAAGACUGAAGCUAGGCUCUGCCUUUUGUGCUGGGCUGUUAAAAAUGCUGUGCAAAGCCUGUCUUAAGGUCAUGGGUUGUGAGACACUACAUCCAACAGCAGAGAACAGUGUAGACUUGAGCUAGACAAUGGGGCUGGAACACGGGUGUAAUCUAGUCAUUUGCCCAAGCACCAGGACAUGGUUUCUCAUGAUAGAUUUAUCUCUUUCAGAAAGUGAAUUUUAGCCUCUGGCUUGUAAUAAAAUAUAAUGCAAUGCAUCUCUUCCGUCUGUGUUCAAUGCCUGUCUCUUUAAAAUCUGCCUUUUUUCUUCUUCUUAUAAAGUUGCAUUAGGAUAGUGCUGUCCUGCAGGACAUGAUGAGAAAAUAACAUGGCUAAAGAACUGCAUGGAAUAUCUGUGCAUCAGUUACUAAUCUGUUCUGGAUGGAUGGACUUAGAAGUUAUCUUAGUGACUAACCAUUGGAAAAUCCUGUGAUAUGGGAGCUCAUGCAUUUUUUUGUAGCCACAGCUGCAGUCAUUUCCCUUCAGAGACACAUCAUUUCCCCAAGACACAUCCUGUCUCAGAGGGCUAUGGUGUCUGCUGCUCCAAGCUUCUGUCCUCUUUUUCAGUAGCCAGCAUAUGGGUGGAGAUUUCCUUCCUAGUUUCUUCUCCUGAAAACUUCAUCUCAAGCUACAGCUUGAGAAAUGGAUUGAAUCUUGACCUCUUGCAUAAACAUUGUCUCUGCAUGCCAAAAGGAGUCUUAGUGAGAACCAGAGCCCCUGUCUAGACAUGUUUCUUCAUCAUAUAACUCUGAUAGGUAUGUCUUCCAUUGUUGGGCUAGCUCUCUUUGUCUCCGAGUAGCAGCGAUGCCAGAGUUAAAGCAGGUAUUUAAGCAUGUGCAUCUGAAUACUUCAAUGUCGUCUGUUCGGUACACCAGCAACACAAGCAAUGAAAUAAUUUUCAUAUUCUGCAAAGGGAAAUAAGGAAUCUUGUACAAAGUGAAACUAUCUAUUCGUAGUCUUUCUUCCUGAUAUGCAGAAGCAGUUUAUACAUAACUUCAGUAGGGUUCGAUCCCUUUGUACAGAAGAGCAGCAGGGAAGGUAAGAGAAAUGGGUGAGGAAAGAGAUUCUGUCCUCACAGAGGACAGAAUUCCAUUCAGGAACGGGACAAAAAUGUGAUGGGUCUGCAAUGAAUUUAGGAAGUACCUUUGCUACAGUAAGAAGUUAUGAUUGGAUUAGAGAAGGAUUAAAAGAAAAACCUGUGCCGAAGAGGCAGACUAGGAGAAUGACGCCUGUUGCAAGCAAAGAUGUUGAUGGACCAGGUCAAGGCUGCUGAUCUAGUCUAAUGACUCUGUUUUACUGAGUACUGUGUUGAGACAUCAAUUUAGAUAAGGCCUACUUGUUUUUAAGCACAGUAUUAACACGAUAAGAGAAAGUCCUUGCUUUGAAGACCAUUGCUGUUAAUGGUGGAAAUUGGCUUGCGACAGGCAGUGCAUGCUAGUGAAGAGUAUAAUACACUGGCCAGCAAACAAACUACGGCUUCUUAAAAAUCAUGUUUUGCAAAGCGAUAAAUAGGAAUGCUUUGAACGGGAAUGAGCUAAUCAGGCAAAUUAAGAGGCAGUGAACACUGGUGGUAUAGAUGUUCAUCAUUCUUCACAAUUUUUUUAAUUUUUUUUUUUUUGCCAAUGUUAACAAAACUUUAUCAAAAAAAGAAAAAUAUUGAUGUGAUAUUCGUCAAUAUUUAAAAUUUAUUUAUUUUCAGAUGAAAUUGGACCUGAUAAAUCUUAAUGGGGUUGCCUAAGUAUAUACUUCUAUAAUACUUUUCUUCUCAGAACUAUACCAUUAGGUGGCAAAAAAGGGCAUUUAGCAUUAACGGUUGCACAAACAAAGGAAAUGCAUCAUAGAGAAAAAGGAAACAGAGGUGUAAUUCUCUUCUGAUCAAGUCUGUCUUUUAACUCCAAGAUCUCCAGGGGUGGUGUCUAUAAUUCAACCACUUCAGGCUCUGGGAAAUUUAGUAAAUUAUGGCUAGUAGGAAGAAAUACAAUGCAGAUAAUUUUAAAUCUCUUUAAAAUAGUAAUAAUAGGAAAAUAGUUUUAAACUUUUAAUUUACUCACAAAGGCUUAACAGUAGGGGCAGGACUCUCUUGCUUUCUUGAUAUCAUCACAGAAGCUGGGCAAGAAUGUGAUAUAACACCAGCCAACUCUCAUUACUGCUGAAGGAAUGUGGUGUGAUUAAACCUCUAUACAGAAAGAAAUGGAAUGUAAUUCUUACAUGUUGAUUUGCUUUGAACACAUACCACAUGCUGAGGAAUGAGUUUCCAGUGUACUCUUCCAUUUCUAAUGAUGGAGAGGACCCCACCUCCAAAAACUAACUACAACUCUCCUCUUCUGAAAAUGAACACUAUUUGGUUAAAGAUAUUUGUUCACAUUUCCCAGUGUCCAAAACCACUAAAUCCUUUGAGAAAUGUCUGUGAAUGCAAAGCCUUCUUUUUCUUCCUAUUGGGAAAUUCAAGAAAUCAAAGCCCUUUUUUUGCAGCCAUAGAACAAAAGAAGUUUUUGUAUUUCUAAAUACUUCUUCCAAAGUUUCACUAAUAUGAUACCAACGGUUAAAUUAUUUUGUCCUUAUGGACUGCUCUACAGCCCUGUUCAUGUCAUGAAGGUGCCUGAACUUACCUCCUACCUGCACAUUUCCUGCAGUCCUUGAGACUGUGCCUCAGUUGCUAACUUCUGGCUGAAGAAGACUGGAUGGGACUCCCUCCGGCAUCCAGCAGCGAGGCUGUCGUCCAAGUAGUGAGCUGCAGGGUGAUGCAAGGCACUCCCUUCCCUCCGGAUCUGAGCUAGCUACCUCAUCUUGAAAGGAUUUGUUGCUCAAUGACAUCAGCCUAGAGUGAAACAUGGAUCACUUGUCAACAGUUAAUGAUGACAUUUGCUUGCUUACCUCACAAGAUCAGCACUAUAAAGCAUGAAACCCCUUCUGACCCUUGAAAUGGAACCGCAUAAAGACAGAAUUUACUGUAAACUAUUGGCUUCCAAAACCUAAAGCAGGAUCAACAAGGAAUCAGGACACCUGGAAUGUCUUUGAGGUGUACGUGAAUUUACAUAACUAUUGUAAAGUAAUCUUUUAACUGUUUCAGUGCAGCAUGAGCCAUAAAUUCAGCAGAUAUGUGUGCUUGUGUUUUGUAGUAAAUGAAGUUUAGACUUGA